This 687-nucleotide unclassified non-coding RNA is filed under the name uncultured Prochlorococcus sp. RNAcentral describes it as "partial may contain 16S ribosomal RNA, 16S-23S ribosomal RNA intergenic spacer, and 23S ribosomal RNA". The stretch from base 1 to 97 matches the Rfam family "Bacterial small subunit ribosomal RNA", at positions 1437 to 1533 of the family's 1533-position model. Lineage: Bacteria; Bacillati; Cyanobacteriota; Cyanophyceae; Synechococcales; Prochlorococcaceae. The record is from RNAcentral.
ACCCUUGUGGAGGAGGACGCCGAAGGUGGGGCUAAUGACUGGGGUGAAGUCGUAACAAGGUAGCCGUACCGGAAGGUGCGGCUGGAUCACCUCCUAACAGGGAGACAACAAAAUGUUUAAUAUUAUUAUUUUGUCACCUUAGGUCGAUCGGUAUCUCACGUUCUUAAUUUGUUAAGAAUUUCAUUUCCUAAGUUUUUCUAGGUCACACCCAUUAUUUUUCCUGGGCCAUUAGCUCAGGUGGUUAGAGCGCACCCCUGAUAAGGGUGAGGUCCCUGGUUCAAGUCCAGGAUGGCCCAUAUCUCUAUGUUGGGGGUAUAGCUCAGUUGGUAGAGCGCCUGCUUUGCAAGCAGGAUGUCAGCGGUUCGAGUCCGCUUACCUCCACUGAUUACCACCUCUUCCAUAAUCGGUAGAAAGGAAAUGUUUUGAGUUGUGAUCAUUAUUCUGAACGAAUCUAGCUUCCUAAUGAAACCAUUAAGAUGCUGGACUCAUUGAAUUAAUUUCAUUGUUUUCAGAGAACCUUGACAACUGCAUAGAUUUUUUUAAAGACAAUAAGCAUCUUUAAUGAUGCAGAUUUAUUAUUUGUGCGAAUGCAUUAAUAACAAUUCUAUUAAGCUGAUGCUUCAAUUUUUGAAGUUAUUGGUCAAGCUACAAAGGGCUCACGGAGGAUACCUAGGCACACAGAGGCGA